RNAcentral lists this ribosomal RNA (433 nucleotides) under uncultured bacterium. RNAcentral's name for it is "partial 16S ribosomal RNA". It matches the Rfam family "Bacterial small subunit ribosomal RNA", at positions 29 to 507 of the family's 1533-position model. The record is from RNAcentral.
AACGAACGCUGGCGGCAUGCCUAACACAUGCAAGUCGAACGAGACCUUCGGGUCUAGUGGCGCACGGGUGCGUAACGCGUGGGAACCUGCCCUUAGGUUCGGAAUAACUCCCCGAAAGGGGUGCUAAUACCGGAUAAUGUCUUCGGACCAAAGAUUUAUCGCCUUUGGAUGGGCCCGCGUUGGAUUAGCUAGUUGGUAGGGUAAAAGCCUACCAAGGCGACGAUCCAUAGCUGGUCUGAGAGGAUGAUCAGCCACACUGGGACUGAGACACGGCCCAGACUCCUACGGGAGGCAGCAGUGGGGAAAAUUGGACAAUGGGCGAAAGCCUGAUCCAGCAAUGCCGCGUGAGUGAUGAAGGCCUUAGGGUUGUAAAGCUCUUUUGCCCGGGAUGAUAAUGACAGUACCGGGAGAAUAAGCUCCGGCUAACUCCGUG